UACCCAAUCCUAAUUCAGGGAGGUAGUGACAAGAAAUAACAACUCGGACCUCGUAUGAGGUUGCGAGAUUGCAAUGAGAACAAUUUAAACCACUUAUCGAGUAACAAUUGGAGGGCAAGUCUGGUGCCAGCAGCCGCGGUAAUUCCAGCUCCAAUAGCGUAUAUUAAAGUUGUUGCAGUUAAAAAGCUCGUAGUUGAAUUUCUGGCCGGCGCUGUUCUCGGCUCUCGCAGUCGGUUCAGGGCUUGGUCAUCCGUAUGGGAAGCUAGCUCGGCCUUCACUGGUCGGUUAGUGGAUCAUACACUUUACUUUGAAAAAAUUAGAGUGUUUCAGGCAGGCAAUUGCUUGGAUACUGCAGCAUGGAAUAAUGGAAUAGGACUUUGACCUAUUUGUUGGUUUCUUCGAGGUCAAAGUAAUGAUUAAUAGGGACAGUUGGGGGGCAUUCGUAUUUAAUUGUCAGAGGUGAAAUUCUUGGAUUUAUUAAAGACGAACUUAUGCGAAAGCAUUUUGCCC
RNAcentral lists this ribosomal RNA (510 nucleotides) under Colpoda elliotti. RNAcentral's name for it is "SSU rRNA". It matches the Rfam family "Eukaryotic small subunit ribosomal RNA", at positions 442 to 960 of the family's 1831-position model. Lineage: Eukaryota; Ciliophora; Colpodea; Colpodida; Colpodidae. The record is from RNAcentral.